ACGCUCGACACCUACGGGAGGCAGCAGUUGGGAAUAUUGGACAAUGGAGGAAACUCUGAUCCAGUGACGCCGCGUGAAGGAAGAAGGUCUUCGGAUUGUAAACUUAUUUUGUCAGGGGAAAGAAAAAAUAGACUGUACCUGAAGAAAAAGACACCGGCUAACUACGUGCACNNCGACGUAUCNGAGGCGGNGUGAGACG
Molecule: ribosomal RNA, 199 nt
Filed under: uncultured bacterium
Lineage: Bacteria
Description: partial 16S ribosomal RNA
Rfam family: Bacterial small subunit ribosomal RNA
Source: RNAcentral